ACUGAACAACUGUUGUUUUUACCAAAAUCUGUGCAGUGACCAGGCCUGAAUCCAAAUCUAAUUUGAUUCUACAACCUAGACUUCUGCUGCAUUCUUUGUAUCAGAAUCAGCAAAGAUUUCUUCUAUAUAUAAGACACUGAGUUCACUAUUUGGGGAGGUGGUUUGGAAACCCAGAUGUUUCUGGUGUGCACAGUGGUUUCUAGUCUUCGUAUUCCAUCUACCAAAAGACAGUGAUAUGUUCUGACUGGACACUCUCUCCUCAGCAUCUUAUUUUGACAUUGAUGAAAAAGGUUUGGGGAUUAAAUCUUAUUGAGCUCUCCAAUUCCAAAAUGGUAAGUUUAUGUAAUUAGGUCAAAAAGACAGAAAAUAGAAAGUUGGUCUGUGGAUUUGGGCAGGAGCAAGGAAGCACUGCUCUUACCCUUGUCUCAGUGACUUAAUCAAAGACUAGAGUUUAAUCAGUGGAGUGGUCAGUGUUCAGAAACACACUAGAAAAGUGUCCAAAAUGUGUGUUAAGAACUCAUAGUCUAGAAGGGAGGUUGUAUGUGAUACAUGCUAUGAAAAUUCCAUCCCAAGGUGGUGUGGAGUUCAGAAAGGAAAAAAAGAGCAGAAUAAUUGGGGUGAGAGAGGCUAAAGGCCUGCUGAUUCAGCCUCAGGUGGCAAAUGUGGCUAAGGCAAAGAGUAUGGAAAAGAGAUAAGAAUGGUAUGAGCAAAGGUUUGUGACCAGGAAACGGCUAGGUAAUUUCCAAGAAGAGUAGGGAAUUUAGGGAGAACAGAGAGCACUGAAUUGGAG
Molecule: long non-coding RNA, 790 nt
Filed under: Marmota monax (woodchuck)
Lineage: Eukaryota; Metazoa; Chordata; Mammalia; Rodentia; Sciuridae
Source: RNAcentral